RNAcentral lists this ribosomal RNA (382 nucleotides) under uncultured eukaryote. RNAcentral's name for it is "partial 18S ribosomal RNA". It matches the Rfam family "Eukaryotic small subunit ribosomal RNA", at positions 592 to 976 of the family's 1831-position model. The record is from RNAcentral.
UGUAAGCGUAUACCAAAGUUGUUGCAGUUAAAACGCUCGUAGUCGGAAUUUGGCAGUUCCGGAUGUGUGCACGUCGUGUGCGCACUUCGCGGGGAUUGCUUUUGUGGUCUUGCGUAGGAUGAGGCACUUUUAUUAGUGAACGUCCUCACGCAACUACUUUUUACUGUGAGAAAAUCAGAGUGCUCAAAGCAGGCAUUUGCCGUGAAUGUAUUAGCAUGGAAUAAUAGAAUAGGACUCGGUUCUAUUUUGUUGGUUUGUUGGGACUGAGUAAUGAUUAAGAGGGACAGUUGGGGGCAUUUGUAUUUCGGCGCUAGAGGUGAAAUUCUUAGAUUGCCGAAAGACAAACUGCUGCGAAAGCGUCUGCCAAGGAUGUUUUCAUUGA